This is a non-coding RNA of Paramuricea clavata, 1436 nucleotides long. NCBI's taxonomy places the organism in Eukaryota, Metazoa, Cnidaria, Anthozoa, Malacalcyonacea, Plexauridae. The record is from the annotation of a GenBank genome assembly.
GGGAGAUUGGUAUCUUUUUGGCGACUAAUUCGAUGGCUAUUCCAGAUUGUUUCUUUGAAGAUAUCAAGCUGCUUUUGUAAUAUUCGAAUUAAAAGAAAUGCCAGUAGUGAUCUAAAUAAUUAAAGUAUUCCAAUCAAUUCUUAAUUCUAUUGUUUAAUUAUAGUUCAUUGGUUCAUUUACCUGUCAGUUUCGUUAUCCGGUUCAUAAUGCUGAUUGUCUUUCAGCCACCCUAGGAUUUCUUUGAAGUAUUUCUCCAAACGUUCGUGAAUUUAUUUCCACCAGCGUUCAAUCUAACAUAUAUAGAAUAUAUGAGUACAAUCUAUCACGAAAACUUCAUAAGUAUACAGAAUACGGAUGUUGGAAAUGAUAUUCUAGAUCUUGAAAGUUUGUUAUGUGGCUGAUUUCUUAUGAAAUCUUGGCCAACUUUACAGUAAUAUGUGUCAUUGUAUCAACUAACCUGGUUGGAUGUUGAUGGGCAAUACAGAAUAGUAUCACAUGGGUCUCCAUCAUAACUACUGGCGCAAAAAGGCAUGAAUUGUCCCUGUUUCCGUACCUUUGUCAAGUCGAAGAUAAGAUAGUCUCAAAGAUAUGUUGCAAAUACUGAUAUCCAAUCAAAUUAGGAUCCGAGUUGCUGACCCAAAUACACAACCAAAGAAUUUUGCGACUGGCAGAAUCUAAACAACCAUACACAGCCAAUGGGUACGUGCUGUUUUGGUAACCCAUCAGCUUGUCAUGGUCGUCUAGUGAAUGAACCCAGUUCGUUCCCUUAGUUGAAUAUGUCCCCUUCCUUUUCUUUUUUCCAGUUCCAACGCAUCUUUCUUCUAAGCCCUCAGGAUCAACCUCUUGCAUUACAGCAUGGACUAAAUCACGAGGUACAUUUAGCUCGUGCUCUUGGUGCAGCUUCUGAUGCAUUGCUCUAUAGCCAAGCAAUUUGCCUGGACCACUGACCUCCUUUUCCACGGCAUUAAUCACUUGAUUAAUCACUUGAUCCUUGUCCGUAUAAUAAAUGUCGAAAUGCCUCAUUCUUCGGUCGAGCGAUCGAAGGCUCCAUGCAUACUGUGAAUAAUCUCUUUCGACGAAAUCUAAUACCUCCUUUCGUCUAAGACCUUGGUGAACGUAUUUUUCUAAAUCAUCUUUUAAAUCUUUGUCAUUUUCCCAAUCAUCAUUUCGCAUGAACGCCAUGUUUCAAACGGCCAGUUUUAUACCUAAUGUAACACCGAUUAAAAUGUGUGAACAUUCCUUGUUCUCGCAAAGAAUUUUGGUAUACUGUGGCAACGCUAGGCUCGCUAAAAUUUUUCAUACAUUCAUUAUUAGUGUAAUGUUUUUUCAUUUCAUUUUAAAAUGAUUUUGUUUUAUUUUUUUUUUCAAUUUAAAAUACUUUUUUUAUUAGUUUUUUUAUAAAUUUUCUAUGGCAACGCUAGGCCACCAUAUUGAUG